RNAcentral lists this ribosomal RNA (601 nucleotides) under uncultured bacterium. RNAcentral's name for it is "bacterial SSU rRNA". It matches the Rfam family "Bacterial small subunit ribosomal RNA", at positions 93 to 681 of the family's 1533-position model. The record is from RNAcentral.
GAGCGGCGGACGGGUGAGUAACACGUGGGUAACCUGCCCAAGAGACUGGGAUAACACCUGGAAACAGAUGCUAAUACCGGAUAACAACACUAGACGCAUGUCUAGAGUUUGAAAGAUGGUUCUGCUAUCACUCUUGGAUGGACCUGCGGUGCAUUAGCUAGUUGGUAAGGUAACGGCUUACCAAGGCAAUGAUGCAUAGCCGAGUUGAGAGACUGAUCGGCCACAUUGGGACUGAGACACGGCCCAAACUCCUACGGGAGGCAGCAGUAGGGAAUCUUCCACAAUGGACGAAAGUCUGAUGGAGCAACGCCGCGUGAGUGAAGAAGGGUUUCGGCUCGUAAAGCUCUGUUGGUAGUGAAGAAAGAUAGAGGUAGUAACUGGCCUUUAUUUGACGGUAAUUACUUAGAAAGUCACGGCUAACUACGUGCCAGCAGCCGCGGUAAUACGUAGGUGGCAAGCGUUGUCCGGAUUUAUUGGGCGUAAAGCGAGUGCAGGCGGUUCAAUAAGUCUGAUGUGAAAGCCUUCGGCUCAACCGGAGAAUUGCAUCAGAAACUGUUGAACUUGAGUGCAGAAGAGGAGAGUGGAACUCCAUGUGUAGCGG